This is a long non-coding RNA of Zingiber officinale, 788 nucleotides long. RefSeq lists it as uncharacterized. The record is from RefSeq and is a predicted model, not a curated record. NCBI's taxonomy places the organism in Eukaryota, Viridiplantae, Streptophyta, Magnoliopsida, Zingiberales, Zingiberaceae. The transcript is spliced from 3 exons.
CAUCGUCUUCUCAUUUUCUCACGCUUCGAAACCUAAAAGCCGCCGUUGUCGCCGCUUCAGCCGUCGCUGCUGCCUCCACCUUCAUUUUCUUCUUCUUCUUCUCACCCUGUCGUGCCUGCCCGCUGAUACAUCCGCCGCUUUAGCCGCCGCUGCCACUUCCGUUGCCGCCGCCACUGCUUCCUCCGCCGCCGCUUCCUCCCCCCGCCGCUGCUUCCUCUGCCUUCUUCUUCUUCUUCUUCUUCUUCUUCUUCUUCUUCUUCUUUUCGUCCUGUCAUGCCCGCCCGCCGCUGCUGCCAUGUUCUUCUUGAUGGAGCCAUUGAUUUUGGACAGGAUGAAGAAGUUGCAGAGAAUGAUGAAACAUAUUAGGAUUGUUUUUUGUAUUGUUAUUCUUUAACGUUGAUGAGGAUAAUGCAUUUGAAGAACCUACUUUAGUCUCAGCUUUCUCGAACCCAGUGAGCUUGGAAAUCAUUCUCUCAAGGCUUUUUUCUUACACAUGGAAGUGGAGAGUUGGAAGCAGAUAAUGUUUUGAUUUGAGAACUGAUAGUCCAUGGUUGGGAUCAUCAUGGUUAGACAAAAAAAGAAAGAGACAACCAUGCUAGAAAAAUUGAAUGGUGAUCAAGCAAAUGUGGUAAGAGGAUUCUGACGAAGAAGGAUUAUAGAAGUUAUCUCUAGAUCAUGAGGAGUUGAUCUUUAGACUUUCUAUUGUGUAACUUUUAUGGGAAUAACAGUUUUUUUCUUAUCAAAUUAAUGAUGGAUAUGUAGAUAUUUUUAUUAUUGGAUGAAUGUUG